This 46-nucleotide ribosomal RNA is filed under the name Zymoseptoria tritici. RNAcentral describes it as "partial 18S ribosomal RNA". Lineage: Eukaryota; Fungi; Ascomycota; Dothideomycetes; Mycosphaerellales; Mycosphaerellaceae. The record is from RNAcentral.
ACAGCGUAACAAGGUCUCCGUAGGUGAACCUGCGGAGGGAUCAUUA